AGUUACGUUUAAAUCUCCCAAUUAAAACCAGUAUUAAUAUAAAGAUAGGGUGAGGUCAGUACGUGACUCGGUAACAACGUUAUCUAGGAGAGAGUUGCUACAUUGUUGCGCAUAUCAUUAAAACAGAUUGCCUUUUAAUAACGAGCAAAACAACCAAUACGUGCUGUUCCAUCAGUGCGUCACUCAAAUUAUAAUUUGCGUAAUUACUGGUGGUAGGACUUCUUGUGAGUCCGCACGGGCCGGGGGCCAACCUCCUACGAGGCAUGUGGGACUUGACGAUCUGCAAGGUGUUGGGAGCAGACCACGGGCCCAAGGAAUUUUAGGGCCCUACCGCACUAAAUGACUCCCCUGCACUCUUACACCCGACGUCCGAUCUCCGUCCGGGGUCAAAACCCAGUCAGAGUAGGGAGGUUCCCACGGUCAACACUACAAUCAGACACGCGGCGCCACCCUGAGGACACACGACCGACGGGUCGAGGCGAUAGUCGACGACCAACGACGUCGGUCUCCGCGGUACGGCGGUCCUACCAGGCCGCCCGGGCGAUGCCGCUGGUAUUCCGGGAUACCCCGCUGGGCCUGAACCAGCCUGCCGGGUCGGAACGCGAUACACGGGCCGACCGGGUUACUGAACACAGACACCCCGCAAGCCUCGCCACACGACCGGUCCUGCACAUAGCGGAGUCCUACGAUUUCAAUAGGUCGUCGGUCUACUUGUCAACUCUGUAGAAUCUUUUUGAAUUAAAGUCGAAUAAAACA
This is a long non-coding RNA of Bombyx mori (domestic silkworm), 756 nucleotides long. RefSeq lists it as uncharacterized. The transcript is spliced from 2 exons. The record is from RefSeq and is a predicted model, not a curated record. Lineage: Eukaryota; Metazoa; Arthropoda; Insecta; Lepidoptera; Bombycidae.